CCAUGACCUCGUUGAAACACCGGAUCCCGUACAAUCAACGAAGUUAAGCAAUAUCAAGCCUGGUCUGUACCUGGAUGGGUGACCGAUUCGGAAUACCAGGU
This is a non-coding RNA of Acanthosepion pharaonis, 101 nucleotides long. Lineage: Eukaryota; Metazoa; Mollusca; Cephalopoda; Sepiida; Sepiidae. The record is from the annotation of a GenBank genome assembly.